CCUACGGGUGGCAGCAGUGGGGAAUAUUGGACAAUGGGCGAAAGCCUGAUCCAGCCAUGCCGCGUGUGUGAAGAAGGCCUUCGGGUUGUAAAGCACUUUCAGUGGGGAAGAAAGCCUUGGGGCUAAUACCCUCGAGGAAGGACAUCACCCACAGAAGAAGCACCGGCUAACUCCGUGCCAGCAGCCGCGGUAAUACGGAGGGUGCGAGCGUUAAUCGGAAUUACUGGGCGUAAAGCGCGCGUAGGCGGUCUGAUAAGCCGGUUGUGAAAGCCCCGGGUUCAACCUGGGAACGGCAUCCGGAACUGUCAGGCUAGAGUGCAGGAGAGGAAGGUAGAAUUCCCGGUGUAGCGGUGAAAUGCGUAGAGAUCGGGAGGAAUACCAGUGGCGAAGGCGGCCUUCUGGACUGACACUGACGCUGAGGUGCGAAAGCGUGGGUAGCAAACAGGAUUAGAUACCCGAGUAGUC
Molecule: ribosomal RNA, 465 nt
Filed under: Vreelandella stevensii
Lineage: Bacteria; Pseudomonadati; Pseudomonadota; Gammaproteobacteria; Oceanospirillales; Halomonadaceae
Description: partial 16S ribosomal RNA
Rfam family: Bacterial small subunit ribosomal RNA
Source: RNAcentral